GUCUUUUUGAUUUUUUUUUAAAGUCUAACCUGCCCACUGAAGUUUAAAUGGCCGCAGUAUACUGACUGUGCAAAGGUAGCAUAAUCAUUAGUCUUUUAAUUGGAGGCUGGUAUGAAUGGUUGGACGAGAUAUUAACUGUUUCAUUUGAAUUUAUUAUAGAAUUUUAUUUUUUAGUCAAAAAGCUAAAAUUUAUUUAAAAGACGAGAAGACCCUAUAAAUCUUUAUAUUUUUUUGUAUUAUUAUUAUUUUGUAUUAUUAUUUAAUAAUAUAAAUUUAGUAUUUUAUUGGGGUGAUAUUAAAAUUUAAUUAACUUUUAAUUUUAGUAUUCAUUAAUUAAUGAUUAAUUGAUCCGUUAUUAACGAUUAAAAAAUUAAGUUACUUUAGGGAUAACAGCGUAAUUUUUUUGGAGAGUUCAUAUCGAUAAAAAAGAUUGCGACCUCGAUGUUGGAUUAAGAUAUAAUUUUAGGUGUAGUAGCUUAAAUUUUAAGUCUGUUCGACUUUUAAAUUCUUACGUG
This 515-nucleotide ribosomal RNA is filed under the name Muscina levida. RNAcentral's name for it is "partial 16S ribosomal RNA". The stretch from base 386 to 515 matches the Rfam family "Bacterial large subunit ribosomal RNA", at positions 2473 to 2602 of the family's 2925-position model. The record is from RNAcentral. Lineage: Eukaryota; Metazoa; Arthropoda; Insecta; Diptera; Muscidae.